CCAGCACCCCGAGUGGUCGGGACGAUUAUUGGGCCUAAAGCAUCCGUAGCCGGUUUUACAAUUCCUCCGUUAAAUCCAACUGCUUAACAGAUGGGCCGCGGAGGAUACUAUAAGACUAGGAGGCAGGAGAGGCAAGCGGUACUCAGUGGGUAGGGGUAAAAUCCGUUGAUCCAUUGAAGACCACCAGUGGCGAAGGCGGCUUGCCAGAAUGCGCUCGACGGUGAGGGAUGAAAGCUGGGGGAGCAAACCGGAUUAGAUACCCGGGUAGUCCCAGCUGUAAACGAUGCAGACUCGGUGAUGGACUAGCUUCAUGCUAGUCCAGUGCCGCAGGGAAGCCGUUAAGUCUGCCGCCUGGGUAGUACGGUCGCAAGACUG
This 375-nucleotide ribosomal RNA is filed under the name uncultured organism. RNAcentral describes it as "bacterial SSU rRNA". It matches the Rfam family "Archaeal small subunit ribosomal RNA", at positions 476 to 851 of the family's 1478-position model. The record is from RNAcentral.